RNAcentral lists this ribosomal RNA (961 nucleotides) under uncultured bacterium. RNAcentral describes it as "partial 16S ribosomal RNA". The stretch from base 82 to 640 matches the Rfam family "Bacterial small subunit ribosomal RNA", at positions 9 to 546 of the family's 1533-position model. The record is from RNAcentral.
GAUCAGCUCGGUACUCCNAAUGCAUCUAGAUAACUCCUUAGAGUUUGAUCCUCGUGCUCACGGUCUGGAACAACCUCCUUAGAGUUUGAUCAUGGCUCAGAUUGAACGCUGGCGGCAGGCCUAACACAUGCAAGUCGAGCGGUAGCACAGGAGAGCUUGCUCUCCGGGUGACGAGCGGCGGACGGGUGAGUAAUGUCUGGGAAACUGCCUGAUGGAGGGGGAUAACUACUGGAAACGGUAGCUAAUACCGCAUAACGUCUUCGGACCAAAGUGGGGGACCUUCGGGCCUCAUGCCAUCAGAUGUGCCCAGAUGGGAUUAGCUAGUAGGUGGGGUAAUGGCUCACCUAGGCGACGAUCCCUAGCUGGUCUGAGAGGAUGACCAGCCACACUGGAACUGAGACACGGUCCAGACUCCUACGGGAGGCAGCAGUGGGGAAUAUUGCACAAUGGGCGCAAGCCCGAUGCAGCCAUGCCGCGUGUAUGAAGAAGGCCUUCGGGUUGUAAAGUACUUUCAGCGAGCAGGAAGGCGUUAAGGUUAAUAACCUUAGCGAUUGACGUUAACUUCGCAGAAGAAGCACCGGGCUUGGACUCCGGUGCCAGCAGCCGCGGGUAAUACCCGANAGGGUGCCACGCGUUUAUUCCGGAAAUUACCUGGGGCGGUAAAGCGGCNUGCAGGCGGGUCNUGUUCAAUUCCGGAUUUGGGAAAUCCCCCCGCGGGGGUUCAACCUGGGGGGGAGCGUGCGUUUUCCGUCAACUUUNGGGCGCCGGGGUUGAAAGCUUUUUUUUCGACGGCGGGGGGGGGGACNAACCCUGGGUGUUGGGGGGAAAUGCGUUUAAGUACUUUGGGANUAUGUCACCNCGUCUGCCGUCNUGCUGUGUGCCCCNUUUCUAUUGAAGUUCGCUCCGNGNUCGAGUGUUGUUUGGCGNUUGUGGUUUAUCUNCUUUGUAUUCUGUUUCUUAU